RNAcentral lists this long non-coding RNA (1323 nucleotides) under Equus caballus (horse). Its description in RNAcentral is "lncRNA (ENSECAG00000045865.1)". The record is from RNAcentral. Lineage: Eukaryota; Metazoa; Chordata; Mammalia; Perissodactyla; Equidae.
CACAAAGAGAAGCUAAAACGAAAAUUCCCUCGCCCCAUCCACCAGCAGCGACGGGGCUCGGCGUGAGGGGGGUAAUGGCUGAAAAACUGUCUGCCUACGGAGAAAGCUGUGUGUGGUGGGCCACGACUGUGAAAAGCUAAGGACCAGGGAGGCACGGAGGAGCUGGCAAGACAUUUAGCAAGAGCAAAAUGUGUGGAGGAGAAAGAAGAUGUGGACUUCCAAGCAGCUGAGAAAGGGCUAGCCCAGAACACGGAAUGGACUGACCGCAGAGAAGCAUCAAGGGUGAGGGACUUGGCAGCUGGACUCCAGGCCCCUGUGCAUCCCCCUGCGCUGCUCCCUGCAAAUAGGCAGACACGUCAUACUUGUGCACGUGGUCCAGCAGGGUUUCUCAUACUUGGAAAGCCUGGCUUCAUCCUCUCUCUGAAGUCCUGUAAAACCAAGAGGCAGAAUUGCCCGUCUCCUCCAAGGACAGUGAAGGCAGAACAUCACAACCCAGGCUUCCCAGGACCCGACGCUGUGUUAACACGGCCAGAGACAUCGCAUCUGAGCAGAGCAGACAAGAACAUCAGAGUCUAUUCGCACAGCCGGCCAAGAGUGGCUCAGAGCACAAGUGCACGCGUGGUCUUGUACUUAGGGCCCCCUCCUCACAAACACACCUUUCACAGGCGCUCGUGCUACCGACAGGUCCUCCCCCCAGUCUGUCAGGCCUACGGGGUUGCCAUUAGGUCGGUUUCCUCGGAGGAGGAAGGUGGGAGGUAAGGAGGCCCACAUUCCUGAGGAUGAAAUCACCAAAUGGAGCCACUCGCCCUCUCUCUCAGCCCUACAGUUUCAACAGAAAGCCCGAGGCGGUGGGGACGUUGGCAGGCACGGAGGGGUAGAGGUGCACCCCUCCGACUCCCUGGGAGAACCAGGUCAGCGGGUCUGGAAGUGUGAGCCAAGAACAGCUCAUAUGGGAACAGUCUGGCACUCGAGCUUAAAAACGCUCAUUCCUGGACUCCUUACCACUGAAUCUGAAUCUUUGGGGGAACUGGCAUUUUUUAGCAAACUAUUCCGAGUGAUUCUUAUGUCCAGUAGUGUUAAAAACCACAUGAGCUCUUUGAAGGCAAAGACCUCCCUCAAUGCCUGGCAAAUAGCAGACACUCAGUAAAAAUGUGUCCAGAGAACAGCUGCCUAAAUGAAGGUGUGUGACAGCAGAAGUGCAUCCCCAGGGACCCAGGAAGGAGCAGAAGUGGCCGGAGUGAGCCGGGGCUUAUCAGACCUGGAAACGGGCUUGAAGGCUUUCUGCAGGAUCAACGUUCUCCUAUGAUGGCACAGAGCCCUCCG